This 1077-nucleotide long non-coding RNA is filed under the name Olea europaea subsp. europaea. Lineage: Eukaryota; Viridiplantae; Streptophyta; Magnoliopsida; Lamiales; Oleaceae. The record is from RNAcentral.
CAAGACAGGAAGUGAAAUCAUUUUCUCUUUGAGCUGCACAAACGCCUGUUCAGCAAUUUCAUCCCAAUAGAAAUUAUUCUUUUUAAGCCUCUCGGUUGGAGGCCAUGCUAUCUUUCCAUAAUCUCGCACAAACCGUCUAUAGUACCCUGUAAGGCCAAGAAACCCCCUUAGUUCGCGAAGGGACCUCGGGCUCGGCCAAUCCACCAUUGCUUUAAUUUUCUCACAGUCAGCUGCCAUCCCGUGCUGAGAAAUAACAUGCCCUAGUACUCUACUUCGCCUUGUCCGAAUAUACACUUCUUUCCAUUCAGGUACAAUCGGUUUUCUGCCAAUACUUUCAAAACCCACCUCAAAUGCCCCUUAUGCUCAGUCAUAUUCUUGCUAUAUAUCACUAUAUCAUCAAAAAAGACUAGUACUGACCUCCUUAACUGUUCUUUAAAAAUUUCAUUCAUCAAGGCUUGGAAAGUGGCAGGCACAUUAGUUAAACCAAAAGGCAUAACCAAAAAUUUUAAUGCCCCUCGUGGGUUCUAAAGGCUGUCUUGGGAAUGUCCUCAGGUGUCACACGAAUUUGGUGAUAUCCUGCCUUCAAAUCUAGCUUAGAGAAUACUGUGGCCCCAUGCAACUCAUCUAGCAGCUCCUCAAUCACUGGGAUGGGAAACUUGUCCAGCACUGUCACUUUAUUCAAUGCCCUAUAGUCUACACAAAAUCGCCAACCUCCAUUUUUCUUCUUCACCAGUAAUACUGGACUCGAGAACGGACUGGUGCUUGGCUUGAUUAUUCCAGCUGCUAGCAUUUCUCGCACCAACUUUUCAAUCUCAUUUUUUUGGCUAUACGGAUAUCGAUAGGGUCUAAUGCUGACUGGAGUAGUGCCUGGUUGCAACACAAUCGCAUGAUCCCUUUCCCGAUUAAGGGGAAGCCUACACGAUUCCUGGAGGACUCUUUUAUAGUCUUCCAAUACCUCUUCUAAUUCUCCGGGUACCUUCAAUCUAACUUCACAUAACUCGACAGAAAUGCUCCCCAAUUCCAGUAAUAUGCCUUCUCCAUUUUCUCGAAAUGCCUUUAUCAUUGAUUUUAAUCCCA